AGGAUGAACGCUGGCGGCGUGCUUAACACAUGCAAGUCGAACGGUGAAAGAGGAGCUUGCUCCUCUGGAUCAGUGGCGAACGGGUGAGUAACACGUGAGUAACCUGCCCUUGACUCUGGGAUAAGCGUUGGAAACGACGUCUAAUACCGGAUACGAGCUUCAGCCGCAUGGCUAGGAGCUGGAAAGAACUUCGGUCAAGGAUGGACUCGCGGCCUAUCAGGUAGUUGGUGAGGUAACGGCCCACCAAGCCUACGACGGGUAGCCGGCCUGAGAGGGUGACCGGCCACACUGGGACUGAGACACGGCCCAGACUCCUACGGGAGGCAGCAGUGGGGAAUAUUGCACAAUGGGCGAAAGCCUGAUGCAGCAACGCCGCGUGAGGGACGACGGCCUUCGGGUUGUAAACCUCUUUAGUAGGAAGAAGCGAAAGUGACGGUACCUGCAGAAAAGCACCGGCUAACUACGCGCCAGCAGCCGCGGU
RNAcentral lists this ribosomal RNA (481 nucleotides) under uncultured bacterium. RNAcentral describes it as "SSU rRNA". It matches the Rfam family "Bacterial small subunit ribosomal RNA", at positions 26 to 521 of the family's 1533-position model. The record is from RNAcentral.